CCCUGGUUAGCUCAGUUAGCAGAACGCUCCACUGCAAAUUGAGGUCCCGGGUUCGAUACCCGGACCAGGCG
Molecule: transfer RNA, 71 nt
Filed under: Ixodes scapularis (black-legged tick)
Lineage: Eukaryota; Metazoa; Arthropoda; Arachnida; Ixodida; Ixodidae
Rfam family: tRNA
About the family: Transfer RNA (tRNA) molecules are approximately 80 nucleotides in length. Their secondary structure includes four short double-helical elements and three loops (D, anti-codon, and T loops). Further hydrogen bonds mediate the characteristic L-shaped molecular structure. tRNAs have two regions of fundamental functional importance: the anti-codon, which is responsible for specific mRNA codon recognition, and the 3' end, to which the tRNAs corresponding amino acid is attached (by aminoacyl-tRNA synthetases). tRNAs cope with the degeneracy of the genetic code in two manners: having more than one tRNA (with a specific anti-codon) for a particular amino acid; and 'wobble' base-pairing, i.e. permitting non-standard base-pairing at the 3rd anti-codon position.
Source: Rfam by way of RNAcentral